Long non-coding RNA from Photinus pyralis (common eastern firefly), 751 nucleotides. RefSeq lists it as uncharacterized. The transcript has 2 exons. Lineage: Eukaryota; Metazoa; Arthropoda; Insecta; Coleoptera; Lampyridae. The record is from RefSeq and is a predicted model, not a curated record.
UUUUCUUGAUUUAAAAAGGAAUGUUUGAAAAAAAAACAAAAAAAUUUAAAAAUUUUUUUUAUUGUAUUUUUCAAUAGUUACUUAAUACAUAUGAAUAUAGAUUCUCUUUUAAAUUAAAAAAAUUUCGUUUGCUUUCACAGUUUUCAUUGUUUUUUUGCUGGGGGAGGCUAUAUGUCGUGUGAUGAACUAGUGCCAGCUGCCAGCAAAGUGCAGUAGGGCAAUUCUAGAGAUGAACAAGUGUUUUUUUGUAUUACAAAGAUCUUCUUGUAACAGUGAUAACUUAAAAAAUAAAUAACUUGAUACGUAUGUUCUCAAUUGAAGCUACUAGCAGUGAUUGACUACUAGUAGCUACCUUAGUAAUCCUCGAUGACGGAUGGACCGGAAUGAUGAUGACGACAGCGCCGAAUCACUCACCCCUACAACAAUAAGAUUAUCCAGUAAACGUGUCCUACCUAAGAUUUGUUGACAAUUGCAGAGUUGACUAGUUCCUUCGGUCUUCGCAUCGGAAGUGUCGUCGUUUUACAUAGCUAGCGAUGGAGAAUCCAACAAAUGAGCGUGGUUUCCUUACUGCACCUGUCGCUGUAACCUUCCACAGAGAGGAGAUGGUAUUUUAAGAGGAAGCGGUUACCUGGUAUUCCCUAGAACAAUUAAUACAUACCUAUAAGAAACAUUAUGUAACAUGCUACAUAAUAACUUGUGAGUGAAUUAAGAUGUACAUCUUUUGUCUUUGUUAAUAAAUUUACUCACCGUC